CAUGUCCUUUUGAUAAUAAUUUAAGGUUUAAUCUGCUCAAUGAAAUUUAAAUUGCCGCAGUAUUUUGACUGUGCAAAGGUAGCAUAAUAAUUAGUUUUUUGAUUAAGAACUGGAAUGAAUGAUUGGACAAGAAAAUUACUGUCUCUUUUUUAGUUGUUAUUGAACUUUAUUUUUAAGUGAAAAAGCUUAAAUUUUUAUAAAAGACGAGAAGACCCUAUAGAGUUUAAUAUUCUUAGCUUUUUAAAUAUAGAAUUAUUUUUUGUUAAGGUUUAUUUAUUUGGGGUGAUUUAAAGAUUAAAUUAAUUCUUUAAUUAAAAAAUUAGUGAUUUCUAAAAAUAAAAUUCUAUAAUUUGUAAGUUUAAAAUAAAUUACCUUAGGGAUAACAGCGUAAUUUUUCUUUAAAGUUCUUAUUAAAAGAAAAGUUUGCGACCUCGAUGUUGGAUUAAAAUUAAUUUUUGGUGCAAUAACUUAAAAAUUAGGUCUGUUCGACCUUUAAAAUUUUACAUGAUCUGAGUUUAAACCGGUGUAAACCAGGUUGGAUUCUAUCUUUAAAUAGUUAAUAUAUUUUAGUACGAAAGGACCAAAUAUUUAUUAAAUUAAUUG
RNAcentral lists this ribosomal RNA (603 nucleotides) under Wakarumbia pendolensis. RNAcentral describes it as "partial 16S ribosomal RNA". The stretch from base 379 to 537 matches the Rfam family "Bacterial large subunit ribosomal RNA", at positions 2473 to 2632 of the family's 2925-position model. The record is from RNAcentral. Lineage: Eukaryota; Metazoa; Arthropoda; Insecta; Coleoptera; Lycidae.